GGGCGGGUAGCUCAGUUGGUAGAGCGGGGGAUUGAAAAUCCCUGUGUCGCUGGUUCAAGUCCAGUUCUGCCCA
Molecule: transfer RNA, 73 nt
Filed under: Phycisphaerae bacterium
Lineage: Bacteria; Pseudomonadati; Planctomycetota; Phycisphaerae
Description: tRNA-Phe
Rfam family: tRNA
About the family: Transfer RNA (tRNA) molecules are approximately 80 nucleotides in length. Their secondary structure includes four short double-helical elements and three loops (D, anti-codon, and T loops). Further hydrogen bonds mediate the characteristic L-shaped molecular structure. tRNAs have two regions of fundamental functional importance: the anti-codon, which is responsible for specific mRNA codon recognition, and the 3' end, to which the tRNAs corresponding amino acid is attached (by aminoacyl-tRNA synthetases). tRNAs cope with the degeneracy of the genetic code in two manners: having more than one tRNA (with a specific anti-codon) for a particular amino acid; and 'wobble' base-pairing, i.e. permitting non-standard base-pairing at the 3rd anti-codon position.
Source: RNAcentral